RNAcentral lists this ribosomal RNA (261 nucleotides) under uncultured prokaryote. RNAcentral describes it as "partial 16S ribosomal RNA". It matches the Rfam family "Bacterial small subunit ribosomal RNA", at positions 524 to 784 of the family's 1533-position model. The record is from RNAcentral.
UACGUAGGGUGCGAGCGUUGUCCGGAAUUAUUGGGCGUAAAGAGCUUGUAGGCGGUUUGUCGCGUCUGCUGUGAAAAUCCGGGGCUCAACCCCGGACUUGCAGUGGGUACGGGCAGACUAGAGUGUGGUAGGGGAGACUGGAAUUCCUGGUGUAGUGGUGAAAUGCGCAGAUAUCAGGAGGAACACCAAUGGUGAAGGCAGGUCUCUGGGCAGUUACUGACGCUGAGGAGCGAAAGCAUGGGUAGCGAACAGGAUUAGAUA